Long non-coding RNA from Halichondria panicea, 1257 nucleotides. RefSeq lists it as uncharacterized. The transcript is spliced from 9 exons. The record is from RefSeq and is a predicted model, not a curated record. Lineage: Eukaryota; Metazoa; Porifera; Demospongiae; Suberitida; Halichondriidae.
ACACACACACACACACACACACACACACACAUAUCUCUAGUCCCCUCCCCAGCCCUAGCUGAUGAGAGGAGAGAGGGUCUGGUGUCAGCACUAGGGGAGAUCUUGUGGAGGGCAGGGGGAGGAAAGAGAGCUGUGGUUGGAUUUGUUGAGCAAACACUUGAGUCGUUCCUACGAGAAAACUUCCGCUGCAAUCUGGAUUUUUAAAAAGAAUGAAGAGUUGUUAAUGAUCGAGCUUUUAUUCAUGGUACAAUUGACCUUUCUUCAGUCAAGGCUUGCGUUGCCCCUAUGUACAUACCUUGGCUCGGACGCUUAGCGUACACGAAUUAUCAAUUCUUGCUCUGUAGCUACAGUUGUCUGGAACAACAAGAAAAAGGUAUCGUCCUUGACAUAGGAGACAUUGUCCAGGACUGAGACGAGGGCAAAUGUGGGACAGCCUGAGGCAACAUUCAUCUCAUUUCGUGGUCUCUGGAAUGAUGAGGAGGUUGGUUCAGGACGGAACGACUGGAUAAUGUCUCGCUGCUUGUUCUGGUCCACCAGGGUCAGAGUGACUGCAUGUAUGAAUGGCCAGGGGAGGAGGGCAUCGUACUCCCCUCGCAUUAGGGUGAUAAAGAACGACAAUCAUUAUACAAGGAGAGGAGCUGAAUGGAAACAGAAGCCUAUCUGAUGGCUUGAUGAAGUUAACGAUACUGAAGCAAAUAGCCUGUAGCCAAACAGUGGAAGUAAACCUUUAUCAAAGGCACAGAGACCUCAAGAAAAAGAAGAAAGUUGAUUCUGCCACUGGAUUUUGUAACAUGUGGGGUGUCAGCUUUACCGUAUCCCUCGUGCGGCCUCGAGGCAUAAUGAUCUACAUUAUUGUACAAGAAGCUCGGAAUGCUCUGAAACAGAACUGACUUCUCUCCUAGGUAACCACUCCUCGGGGAGUGGAUAAAACAAAAGGCUAAGUUUGGUCACAAUGGAUAGCAUGGCAAGUUAAUUUACACCUAUCAAAACCAUGUUUACAUUUUUCACCUGUCUCACGGAGUCAUAUAGUCACUGUAAAGCUAAUAUUAAAAACAUUAACCCUGCAGGAGCCAUUUUAUUUUGCAGGGCUCCCUCUCUAUACACAUGCAUGUGAGUGUACGAUUUGACAGCGUGCAAGGAAGCCUACAAACGAUGAACUAUUUAUGAUAGCGUGAACGAUGGGAUUUUAACAACGUGAAUGUACGAUGGUAUAAUUAUCUCACCUAUUUCACAAUAAUUAUAACGAUUCUUGUUGGA